GACGAACGCUGGCGGCGUGCUUAACACAUGCAAGUCGAACGGAAAGGCCCUGCUUUUGUGGGGUGCUCGAGUGGCGAACGGGUGAGUAACACGUGAGUAACCUGCCCUUGACUUUGGGAUAACUUCAGGAAACUGGGGCUAAUGCCGGAUAGGAGCUCCUGCUGCAUGGUGGGGGUUGGAAAGUUUCGGCGGUUGGGGAUGGACUCGCGGCUUAUCAGCUUGUUGGUGGGGUAGUGGCUUACCAAGGCUUUGACGGGUCGCCGGCCUGAGAGGGUGACCGGCCACAUUGGGACUGAGAUACGGCCCAGACUCCUACGGGAGGCAGCAGUGGGGAAUAUUGCAGAGUGGGCGGAAGCCUGAUGCAGCAGCGCCGCGUGCGGGAUGCCGGCCUUCGGGUUGUAAACCGCUUUCGCCUGUGACGAAGCGUGAGUGACGGUAAUGGGUAAAGAAGCAACGGCUAACUACGUG
Molecule: ribosomal RNA, 468 nt
Filed under: uncultured bacterium
Lineage: Bacteria
Description: partial 16S ribosomal RNA
Rfam family: Bacterial small subunit ribosomal RNA
Source: RNAcentral